This 502-nucleotide ribosomal RNA is filed under the name uncultured bacterium. RNAcentral's name for it is "bacterial SSU rRNA". It matches the Rfam family "Bacterial small subunit ribosomal RNA", at positions 28 to 517 of the family's 1533-position model. The record is from RNAcentral.
GAUGAACGCUAGCUACAGGCUUAACACAUGCAAGUCGAGGGGCAGCAUGAACUUAGCUUGCUAAGUUUGAUGGCGACCGGCGCACGGGUGAGUAACACGUAUCCAACCUUCCGUUUACUCAGGGAUAGCCUUUCGAAAGAAAGAUUAAUACCUGAUAGUAUGGUGAGAUUGCAUGAUAGCACCAUUAAAGAUUUAUUGGUGUACGAUGGGGAUGCGUUCCAUUAGGUAGUAGGCGGGGUAACGGCCCACCUAGCCUACGAUGGAUAGGGGUUCUGAGAGGAAGGUCCCCCACAUUGGAACUGAGACACGGUCCAAACUCCUACGGGAGGCAGCAGUGAGGAAUAUUGGUCAAUGGACGAGAGUCUGAACCAGCCAAGUAGCGUGAAGGAUGAAGGUCCUACGGAUUGUAAACUUCUUUUAUAAGGGAAUAAAACCGUCCCACGUGUGGGAGCUUGUAUGUACCUUAUGAAUAAGCGAUCGGCUAACUCCGUGCCAGCAGCCG